AAACUUGAGAGUUUGAUCAUGGCUCAGAACGUACGCUGGCGGCACGCCUAACACAUGCAAGUCGAACGAAGUAGCAAUACUUAGUGGCAGACGGGUGAGUAACAUGUGGGUAUCUGCCCUUUGGCCUGGAAUAACACGAGGAAACUUGUGCUAAUACCGGAUAAGUCUUUACGGAGAAAGCUUUAUGCACCAUUGGAUGAGCCCGCACUUGAUUAGUUUGUUGGUAGGGUAAUGGCCUACCAAGACUAUGAUCAAUAGCUGAUUUGAGAGGAUGAUCAGCCACAUUGGGACUGAGACACGGCCCAAACUCCUACGGGAGGCAGCAGUGGGGAAUCUUGCACAAUGGAGGAAACUCUGAUGCAGCGAUGCCGCGUGAGUGAAGAAGGCCCUUGGGUUGUAAAGCUCUUUCGUCGGGGAAGAAAAUGACUGUACCCGAAUAAGAAGGUCCGGCUAACUUCGUGCCAGCAGCCGCGGUAAUACGAAGGGACCUAGCGUAGUUCGGAAUUACUGGGCUUAAAGAGUUCGUAGGUGGUUAAAAAAGUUGGUGGUGAAAUCCCAGAGCUUAACUCUGGAACUGCCAUCAAAACUUUUUAGCUAGAGUAUGAUAGAGGAAAGCAGAAUUUCUAGUGUAGAGGUGAAAUUCGUAGAUAUUAGAAAGAAUACCGAUUGCGAAGGCAGCUUUCUGGAUCAUUACUGACACUGAGGAACGAAAGCAUGGGUAGCGAAGAGGAUUAGAUACCCUCGUAGUCCAUGCCGUAAACGAUGUGUGUUAGACGUUGGAAAUUUAUUUUCAGUGUCGCAGCGAAAGCGAUAAACACACCGCCUGGGGAGUACGACCGCAAGGUUAAAACUCAAAUGAAUUGACGGGGACCCGCACAAGUAGUGGAGCAUGUGGUUUAAUUCGAAGAUACGCGCAGAACCUUACCAACACUUGACAUGUUCGUCGCGACUCUAAGAGAUUAGAGUUUUCGGUUCGGCCGGACGAAACACAGGUGCUGCAUGGCUGUCGUCAGCUCGUGUCGUGAGAUGUUGGGUUAAGUCCCGCAACGAGCGCAACCCUCACUUUUAGUUGCCAUCAUUAAGUUGGGCACUCUGAAAGAACUGCCAGUGAUAAGCUGGAGGAAGGUGGGGAUGACGUCAAGUCCUCAUGGCCCUUACGUGUUGGGCUACACACGUGCUACAAUGGUAUCUACAACAGGAAGCAAAACAGCGAUGUUAAGCAAAUCCCGAAAAGAUACCUCAGUUCGGAUUGCACUCUGCAACUCGAGUGCAUGAAGCUGGAAUUACUAGUAAUCGUGGAUCAGCGUGCCACGGUGAAUGCGUUCCCGGGUCUUGUACACACCGCCCGUCACACCAUGGGAGUUGGUUCUACCUUAAGGCAAGGUUUAAUACCCUUGACCACGGUAUAGUCAGCGACUGGGGUGAAGUCGUAACAAGGUAGCCGUAGGGGAACCUGCGGCUGGAUUACCUCCUUU
RNAcentral lists this ribosomal RNA (1475 nucleotides) under Candidatus Pelagibacter sp. RNAcentral describes it as "bacterial SSU rRNA". It matches the Rfam family "Bacterial small subunit ribosomal RNA". The record is from RNAcentral. Lineage: Bacteria; Pseudomonadati; Pseudomonadota; Alphaproteobacteria; Candidatus Pelagibacterales; Candidatus Pelagibacteraceae.